This 76-nucleotide transfer RNA is filed under the name Bacillota bacterium. RNAcentral's name for it is "tRNA-Lys". It matches the Rfam family "tRNA". From Rfam's summary of the family: Transfer RNA (tRNA) molecules are approximately 80 nucleotides in length. Their secondary structure includes four short double-helical elements and three loops (D, anti-codon, and T loops). The record is from RNAcentral. Lineage: Bacteria; Bacillati; Bacillota.
GCGCUAUUAGCUCAGUUGGUAGAGCACCUGACUCUUAAUCAGGGUGUCUGGAGUUCGAGCCUCCAAUGGCGUACCA